GUUCAGCCAGCUGUGUGGAAUUUAUACCCCUUCUCUCCCAACAAUUACUGUUCACUAUUUCCAUUUUUUUUCGUAUUUCAAUUUUAGAUUUAAAUUUGUGAAUUAUUAUGAACAAAAAAAUGGUUUUAAAAUAGUUUUGACAUGGGAAGGUAUGAUGGUAGAUUAAGAAAAGAGAGAAAGACAAGUACAAUACAACACAAUGAAGUUUCUUCUAAACAAACAAUUAGGAAUAACAUUAGAACCAUCUUGAAGAAAGACGCGAGCUUACUGACGAAAAACGAAAAAGAAUUACUGACUAAAAAUGAAGAUUUUGUUCAAAAAUUGGAUAAAAAUCAAAAAGCAGCAACUCUCAGAAAAUCUAGACUUUUGGAGAUUGAAGAUGACGCUUGUAUUGUGAUGGAACAAUGCAAAAAACUUGCAGAGGCGUUAAAAACGAACAAGCAUGUAAUUGUAUACACGGGAGCUGGAAUCAGCACUUCAGCAAAUAUCCCCGACUUUAGAGGAGCGGAAGGAGUUUGGACCAAGUUGAGCUCAAAUGUGAAAAUCAACCUUGAGCAUAGCUUGACUAAAGCGGAACCCACUGUCGCUCACAUGGUACUGAAGAAACUGUAUGAUGGAGGAAUUGUGAAACACAUUGUGUCUCAAAACUGUGAUGGACUUCAUCUUCGUAGUGGUCUUCCUCAGAAUGCAUUGUCUGAAAUCCAUGGAAAUAUGUAUCUAGAAAUUUGCACUGAAUGUGAUAAUAAGAUUUAUCGCAUUUUUGAUGUGACUGAAAAGACUUCUCUUCGUCGACACAAUACCGGAAGGAUUUGUGAAUCAUGUCAGGAAGAGUUGAAAGAUACGAUUGUUCAUUUUGGAGAGAGAAGCAAGUUAAGGUGGCCCCAUAACUGGCGUGGUGCUGUUGAGAACGCUGAGAAAUCAGACUUGAUUCUCUGCCUUGGUUCAAGCUUGAAGGUUCUCAGAUCUUACAAACAUCUGUGGAUGACUGACAGACCGAAGCAUAAGCGGCCACAACUGUAUAUCGUUAACUUGCAAUGGACACCCAAAGACACUCAGGCUUCUAUGAAGAUCCACAGCCGAAUAGAUUUUGUCAUGGAAACAGUAUGCAAUAUACUUGGACUCUCUAUCCCCACCUAUUCUAGUGAACAGGAUCCUCUGUACUCUCUCGCGACACCUAGCAACUACGAAGGCCAGAGAAUGCCCAUUCCUCUAACAUAUUUAGAAAAAUUUGAAAGUAUUAAACCAGCCAAUUUUACUACUAAAGAUAAAGCAAAAAGCACCUUAGAACAUUUUCAGUGCACCAACAGCAUAGAUCCUGUUAUUAAAAAUGAGUUUGGAACUAUAAAAAUGUUUCCAGAGAAAGCCAUACUACCUCAUACCCCUUGCACAACAGAUGACAACCCGACACAGUAUUCUCAGGAAAGUGAUGUGUCUUCCACCUCAACCAAUGCAAACAAUGUACCAGCAUGGUUCGGAAAAGGCGUGAAGUCAAAAAUCAAUUCUAUCAAGAAAAAAAAAAGAUGGAAAAACAGGAGGAAAUAAUAUUUUUGUGCAGAUAUGUCUCUCGCCCAUUUGUCAACCUAUCUUCCUGCACACAGUAUACCUUUAUCUCCUAGCAUUGGUAGUAGCUGUUGUAUAUUUAUCCCAGGGGAGAGAAAAGAGGAUACGACGGCUUAAUCAUAUGGCGAACCACGGCCUCUCGUCCAGUUACCAGUCCAUGUCGGGUAUGGGAUUAGUUAGCCAUUAUUUGUUUAGGGAAGCUUGUUAGUUCUCUUCCAGCAAGUUAUCCAAGGAAUUGAUAUCAUGGCCCUGUUCUCAGUGCUUUACACAAACACAAGAACAAUAGGGCAGGAUUUUUGAAUUUAUCAUUUGCCUCCACAGAGGUAAAAUUUGAUAAAACUUAGCAUAUGGCAAAGUACAACCCCUCGCUCUGUUACCUGUUUGAAUGUAGGGAUAGCACACCAGUUUAUUCUUAUUUAAGCAGAAUGUUGGGCAUUCCAUCAUUUCUAAUAUCAUCCAGUCAAUUUGCGAACACACUCAGGAUAUUCAGCUGUGUGAUACUGAUAGCAAGCGUGCCCUCAAUGCAUAUCAUGCUGGACUCCUCGUAGCUGCAGGGUGGUUCACGUAACUGUUAUGGCUUCUUCCACCAUCAAGUGGUCCAUCCAUCUGAAACAAAUAACUGGCCAACUAAUCCCAAACCUGACGUUAACUGGUAACCGGACGAUAGGCCGUGGUAAUGUGAUUAAAGUAGUCUUAUUGACUUUCCCCUCCCCCUUUUAACAAUCAACAUGCAUCAGCUCAGGGAUGAAUUUGUUUUACAGCCUUUUUAUAUUAAACAGAAUAGCAUUUUAUUUCUUGUAUGUAGGACUUUGAUUAAACCAGGUUUAUAACAGUGUGUUUUAAAACGUUCCAUUUUAUCUUCUAUUUUAUUAUUUAUCAUUCUCUGAAAUGGUCUUAUAAUUUUCUGAGCCUGGUAAUGGUACGGAUUUUAAUGAAUAAAUAAUAUAGGAUUCUACAUAUGUAUCUCGGGAGAAGAGAAAAGUUUAUACCAGGGCUUGAAAAUAUGGGUAACCGAGCACUCUCUAUGCCUGAAAUUUUUUCAGAUGCGUGGACUUGAUAGUGAAUGGAGCCAUAGCGACCAGCGUUUUCGUGAACCAGGCGCAUCCAAC
Molecule: non-coding RNA, 2669 nt
Organism: Styela clava
Lineage: Eukaryota; Metazoa; Chordata; Ascidiacea; Stolidobranchia; Styelidae
Source: RefSeq, a predicted model, not a curated record